This 457-nucleotide ribosomal RNA is filed under the name uncultured bacterium. RNAcentral describes it as "bacterial SSU rRNA". It matches the Rfam family "Bacterial small subunit ribosomal RNA", at positions 84 to 518 of the family's 1533-position model. The record is from RNAcentral.
CUGAGAAGAUAGUGGCGAACGGGUGAGUAACACGUGGGUAACCUAGCCCGAUAAGAGGGGGGAUAACAUCCGGAAACGGGUGCUAAUACCGCGAUAGUUUUCUUGAUCGCAUGAUUGAGAAAGGAAAGACGGCCUUUGUGCUGUCGCUUAUGGAUGGACCCGCGGCGUAUUAGUUAGUUGGUGAGGUAACGGCUCACCAAGACGAUGAUACGUAGCCGACCUGAGAGGGUGAUCGGCCACAUUGGGACUGAGACACGGCCCAAACUCCUACGGGAGGCAGCAGUAGGGAAUCUUCCGCAAUGGACGAAAGUCUGACGGAGCAACGCCGCGUGAGUGAAGAAAAGGUUUUUCGGAUCGUAAAACUCUGUUGUCAGAGAAGAACAAGUUGGAGAGUAACUGCUCCAGCCUUGACGGUAUCUGACCAGAAAGCCACGGCUAACUACGUGCCAGCCGCAGC